RNAcentral lists this non-coding RNA (85 nucleotides) under Stenotrophomonas maltophilia. The record is from RNAcentral. RNAcentral also lists the same sequence under 1 other name. Lineage: Bacteria; Pseudomonadati; Pseudomonadota; Gammaproteobacteria; Lysobacterales; Lysobacteraceae.
GGCUAUGGCGGGCGGUGCGUGGAGGCCUUGUGCCUGCCGGUUCAGCGAACACCGGGUUUCGAACCACGCAUCGUCCGCCACCUUU